Long non-coding RNA from Eptesicus fuscus (big brown bat), 835 nucleotides. RefSeq lists it as uncharacterized. The transcript is spliced from 6 exons. Lineage: Eukaryota; Metazoa; Chordata; Mammalia; Chiroptera; Vespertilionidae. The record is from RefSeq and is a predicted model, not a curated record.
GAAUCUCAUUUUAGGAAAGCACCGCAUUUACGCUGAGGACAUCGACCUUCCAUAAGGCAGCUGGUUGCGGGAAGUGAUGCCCUGAGAGCCUUAGGAGUCCCUUCUCCAAAAGAGCGCCUGGGAGGGCUGCGCAGGUGCAGGCUGUCAAGAAAGGCUUCUCUAAGUCACACUGAAGGAAAGACCUGAAGAAAAUGAGAGCGUGAACUACAGAAGAGUUCCAGGAGGCUGGAGCAGCUUGUGGAAGUUAAUAUUCCUACUGAGAAGAUAGAAGACUUACUUUCAUCAUCUGAAUCAAAUCCAAAGAGUGCCUGACAUUUCUUUUGUGCACGGUAGGAUGUUUUGCUAAGAAUGAUGCCAAGCUGAUGAUCCUAUGCAGUAUUGUCCUCAUUUUACAAAUGAAGAAACAGACACAGAAACUAUCCAAGAUGACGGAGCAUGAAUAGCAAAAGCUUCGUACCUAGACAUAGUGGGAACUCAAUAAAUAUUUGCUGAGUAAAAGUUUAAGACUGGAUUCCCAAGAACACAAGUGUCAAAGGAAAAACUGAAUGGAAAAAUCAAUGUUUUAAAUAUUUGAAUAUAGGCUCUAAUUAAAAGGAAAUGCUACAUCAUCAACACCUUUCAUGUCACUGAAGACAAAAUGGCAUAGAAAAACAGACAUCGAUGACUGCGUAGAAAAGCAUAUCUAGACUCAGAUUCUGAAUGUGAAGAUGUUUUAGAUAUGCCUUAGCCAAUUAAGUUUGCUUAUAAUUUUCAUGUUUUGUGUAUAUACCAGAGUAAUUGAUCAUAAAAAUCUAUUCAACCUAAAAGCUUGCUUUAAAUAAAUAUGAAAUAAAAA